Molecule: ribosomal RNA, 433 nt
Filed under: uncultured bacterium
Lineage: Bacteria
Description: partial 16S ribosomal RNA
Rfam family: Bacterial small subunit ribosomal RNA
Source: RNAcentral
AACGAACGCUGGCGGCAUGCCUAACACAUGCAAGUCGAACGAGACAUUCGGGUCUAGUGGCGCACGGGUGCGUAACGCGUGGGAACCUGCCCUUAGGUUCGGAAUAACUCCCCGAAAGGGGUGCUAAUACCGGAUAAUGUCUUCGGACCAAAGAUUUAUCGCCUUUGGAUGGGCCCGCGUUGGAUUAGCUAGUUGGUAGGGUAAAAGCCUACCAAGGCGACGAUCCAUAGCUGGUCUGAGAGGAUGAUCAGCCACACUGGGACUGAGACACGGCCCAGACUCCUACGGGAGGCAGCAGUGGGGAAUAUUGGACAAUGGGCGAAAGCCUGAUCCAGCAAUGCCGCGUGAGUGAUGAAGGCCUUAGGGUUGUAAAGCUCUUUUACCCGGGAUGAUAAUGACAGUACCGGGAGAAUAAGCGCCGGCUAACUCCGUG